AAGUCGUAACAAGGUUUCCGUAGGUGAACCUGCGGAAGGAUCAUUAACAGUUUAUAUGUUUAUGUUGUUGUUGUUGUUGUGAUGUGUGUAACACCCUGUGUGACAAUUGCCAUUCUUCUUUCGUUUUUUGGCAAUGUCAUAUUUUUUUUAACCAUAUGUUUACCUGUUAUUCUUAUAUACCAUACCAUAUAUUUAUAUAUCGAAAACUGCCAGCAAUGGAUCACUCGGUUCUU
This 233-nucleotide unclassified non-coding RNA is filed under the name fungal sp. RNAcentral's name for it is "partial internal transcribed spacer region". The stretch from base 1 to 46 matches the Rfam family "Eukaryotic small subunit ribosomal RNA", at positions 1786 to 1831 of the family's 1831-position model. The record is from RNAcentral. Lineage: Eukaryota; Fungi.